ACGUCAGUCUGGUGAGAGCAGAGGGCCUGCUGUGGAGUGUGCGAGUGUGUGGGGGGGGGGGCAGGUGACAUCAGCAGGAGAGUGGGAAACGAUCAUUUCACAGGAGCGGAGGAGACAGCAGCAGCCACACACAGCACACACACGUGCGCUCGCACGAACGCACUCAUACGGACAGCGUGCCCGGCAGAGGAGCUUCCGUGGUCGCCUCUAUCAGGCACUGCACACUGGGGAUUCUGACACACACUGUAAACAAAGCCCUGCCUGUCAACACUGGACAUCAGGGCAGAGCCACAGAGCAGUACGAGCUCCGCCUCUGAGCCGCGGCUGCGACCACAUCGCCGGCGGCCUUAAUUGGACAGCAGAGAGGAGCAGGACUGAGGAGAUGUGAGAUCAGAGACGUCCUCCAGCAUGUCGAAUCCUGAGAAGUGGGUCACCCUGAGUCCGGCGGAGUUCUCCCAGCUCCAGGAGUACACACAGUAUUCCAGCAAAAAGCUGAAGGAUGUUCUGCAGGAAUUUUAUGGUGAUGGACUGCUGGCCAAGUACAAUCCAGAGGAGAAGCAGGACAUACUCAAUCAGGACAUUGACUUCGAAGGCUUCAAGCUCUUCAUGACGACCUUCUUGGAGAACGAGCUCACGGAGGCCUUCUGUCAGCAGCUUUUCCUGUCGUUCAGUGACAAGGCCGCCAAACCCAGUCCAUCCGCUCCCGAUAGGGCGAAAGUCACUGGUAUCAAACUCAUCAAAGGUAAUUCCACUCCUCAGAAGGGCCCUCAGUCGCUGAGGAUGAAUUCCCUGGACACAGUCAAACUGAAAGACAUCGUAUGUUACUUGUCCCUGUUGGAAGGCGGACGACCGGAAGAUAAACUCGAAUUUAUGUUCCGCCUGUAUGACGCUGAUGGAAACGGCUCCCUGGACAGCUCGGAAUUAGAACAUAUAAUCUCUCAGAUGAUGCAUGUCGCCGAAUAUCUUGAAUGGGACGUCACAGAGCUGAAGCCGAUCCUACAGGACAUGAUGCAGGAAAUUGACUAUGAUCAGGACGGCACGGUUUCUCUUGAGGAGUGGAUCCAGGGUGGCAUGACAACCAUCCCCCUGCUUGUGCUGCUCGGCUUGGAGACGAAUGUGAAAGAUGACGGACAGCAUGUCUGGAGGCUGAAGCAUUUCAACAAGCCAGCUUACUGCAACCUUUGCCUGAACAUGCUGAUUGGGCUGGGUAAACAGGGUCUCUGCUGCUCCUUCUGCAAGUACACGGUCCACGAGCGCUGCGUAGCUAGAGCUCCGCCCUCUUGUAUCAAAACUUACGUCAAGUCGAAGAAGAACACAGAGGUAAUGCACCACUUCUGGGUAGAAGGAAACUGUCCGACCAAAUGUGACAAGUGCCACAAAAACAUCAAGUGCUACCAAGGUCUCACUGGACUUCACUGUGUGUGGUGUCAAAUCACUCUCCACAAUAAGUGCGCGUCCCACAUGAAGCCAGAGUGUGACUGCGGCCCUCUCCGGGACCACAUACUGCCCCCCACCACCAUCUGCCCCGUCGUCCUGGAAAGGCAGUCUACACUGAGGAAAGAUUGCAGAGCAAACCAAUCAGGAGGCAGAGGAAAGAUGCAGCGAGCCAAUUCUGUGACCGUGGAUGGGCAAGGACUUCAGAUCACAGCAGCAGAGGGCACCCGCCCGCUGUUGGUGUUCGUCAAUCCGAAGAGCGGAGGGAAGCAGGGAGAACGAAUAUACAGGAAAUUCCAGUACUUGUUAAACCCCCGCCAGGUGUACAACCUCGCCAAAAACGGACCCAUGCCGGGGUUGAAUUUCUUCCGAGAUGUUUCUAGUUUCAGAGUCCUUGCCUGCGGUGGUGAUGGCACAGUUGGGUGGAUUCUUGAUUGCAUCGAUAAAGCCAACUUGGAGAAAAAUCCCCCUGUGUCCGUGCUUCCUCUUGGCACAGGAAAUGACCUCGCACGAUGCCUGAGAUGGGGAGGAGGUUACGAGGGAGGGAGUCUUUUGAAGAUCCUGAAAGAGAUCGAGAACAGUUCAGAGGUGCUGCUGGACCGCUGGAAGAUUGAUGUCCAUCCCAGUGACAAAGAGGAGAAGGGCGACCUCGUGCCUUACAGCAUUAUCAACAAUUACUUCUCUAUCGGAGUGGACGCCUCCAUUGCCCACAGAUUCCACGUCAUGCGGGAGAAGCAUCCCGAAAGGUUCAACAGCAGGACCAAGAACAAGCUGUGGUACUUCGAGUUCGGGACUUCUGAAACAUUUUCUGCCACCUGUAAGAAGCUGCACGACUUCGUGGAAGUGGAGUGCGACGGUAUCCAGCUGGACUUCAGCGACAUCUCCCUUGAGGGAAUCGCCAUCCUGAACAUCCCAAGCAUGCACGGCGGUUCCAACCUAUGGGGGGAGACCAAGAAGAGGCGGAGCCACCGGAGAAUUGGAAAAAAACUCGGCGACAAGCAGACCCCCCUGACUGACCCCAAAGAGCUCGUUUUUGCUGUUCAAGACCCGUCAGAUCACCUUCUGGAGGUUGUGGGCCUGGAGGGGGCCAUGGAGAUGGGGCAGAUCUACACGGGGCUGAAGAGCGCCGGCAGGCGCCUUGCGCAGUGCACUUCCGUUAUCAUCAGGACCAGAAAAUCCCUCCCCAUGCAGAUUGACGGAGAGCCUUGGAUGCAGACGCCCUGUACCGUGAGUCCUUCCGGAGCAAAAAGAAACAAUUGCAAUCAAACAACAGAAAUGUCAUUCAUUAUGAUGGUACCCAUUGUUUGUCUUGGCAAUGCAUUACUCAAUACCUGUCACUCAUUUACAGCACCAUAACAGUGGCAUUCUAAACCAUCGCUUGGUGUUACACAAGUAUAAAUCUGCCAAACAACCCUGUUGUAUGUUUUAUUGAAUUCUUUUUUAAAGGAUCACACUUCAUUUGUGAUAAUUAAAAUUUGUUUGGUUCUAAUUGGGAUGCACGUUCCCCGAGAGUGCCGUCUCUGCACAGGAUACAUAUGGCUUGUUCACUAGUUGCCUGACAGUCUGCGGCAUGACAGCGGUAUUCAUUUGAGGCACACUUGUACCUGUUAGCAAAAAUGCAAUUAAUUUCAGUGACAUGUACCUGCAGUCUCGUUAUUUCCAUGGUGACUUAAGAACCGAAGGGAAACCUGAAUCGGCCAACCUUCCGAACACUUAGAAACACCACAAUUAAAAUGGGCUGCUAUCAGACUAAUUAUUAGCAAUGGCGGUUAUGCAAAUUGCGCUCAAUUUUAGGCACGCAGACAACUUUUAAUGCCGCUGUUCUCAUUUACACAUGUAACAGUUUCGUUGACGGUAUUGUUUGCGAAUCUGAGUGUGAACUGCAGCCUACUGACUACAUAACAACUGAAUGUUUUUCCAAAAAAAGAAAAUCUGAAAAGGGAAGGCAAUUUGUCAUAAGAGGCUCAUAAUUAAGGUAGAGCAGAACAAUUUAUUGCAACAACAUUUCCCAUUACUCUAUCGCCAGCAUCUAUUAAUUCAGCAGAAAUACAGGUGAAUUGAAAUUAGCUGUUGAAUAUUGAAAAACUCAGACAAAGUCAGACAAAACUAAUAAUAUACAACCAAUCACUGAAUUUACCUUUUGAAUCAAUAAUAUCUAUCUAUCUAUCUAUCAUCAUAAUUAUAUAUUGUACAAACCCCUGUACCUUAUGUCACAGUUUGGCUCAAAACACAGCUACAUAAACACCCCAAACCAAAACACCAGCAGAACAAACCAGAAAUGCAACAGGAGUUGCCGUAAUGUUAGUUGAUAGUCACUGUGCAGCUUGUUUUUGUUUAAAAUAAUUAACUGGCAGCAAUAAAGAAAACACAUCGCUCAGUCAGACCGCUGACUCCAGAAGGCCUCUGGGAAUGCUGUGUGAUAUGGCCAAAUUCUGUCACAAUUCAUUAAAGCAAGACCCCACGUGCUUCUGACCGGGCAUGAAUUGUGUGGCGCUGGAGGGGCUGACCGAGCCUCCGCUGCCCGUCAUUUGUUUGCCCCCCUCCUCGGGCCCCGAGAGACACGCUCCAGCGGAUGACGGUCUUCCCAGCAUGAUCGUAAUUUUACCGACUCAGUUAAGAUUGAAAUAAUGCACAAGAACCAGGCGCCCAUGCUGAUGGCCCCCCCACAAAAGAGUGGCUUCUUCACCUCCGUCGUUCGGAAGUCCCGGAGCGAGAGCAGAGAGUAGAGGGACUGCGCCAAGGUGCAUUAUCCCACCACCCCCACGGUGAAGAGGAGAGCGGCCAUUAUUGUACAGCGUCGGUGGGGGGGGGGCUUACGACCCUCCAGUGUAGCCAGUGUCAGCAUUACUGUUGGGCACCAGCUUAAUUUAACAGCCGCUAUGGCCCUCGCGCCCCGCCAACAAGUGGGCUCCCAUUCCGCAUCUGCAGCCUUUGCCAAAACGCCUGCAUGAGAAUCGCGUUUACGGGCGUGUCUGCCAUUGCCUGAAGAUCGAGGCUACCUGCGCAACAGACAGAGGUUAAUUUAUGGGCUGAAAUCCUCCAAAGAGGAUGGAGAAAUGGGGAUGAGAUGACAGCAGGUGAUCUGGGGCAACACCCGCCUCUAGUUAUUUGUGGUAAAUUAAGCUUCACAGAGCUGCAGUUCAUAGAAGAUGAACUACCUGACGCAGAUUGUUACAUUUCUGUGUGGAUCUUGUUUUUUCAGCCUCUUGUUUAAGUUUUCGUCUCUGAAAGAAAUACUUUUGGCGUUAAAGUGUGGUUGUAUUUGCAAUGUAAUAUGUUGAAGCAUCUCUCACCCACAGACAUUCUUCCAGAGUUUUCUUUUCUGGGCGGAAGCUCUGUUUUUCAAAGGCCUGUAUUGUUUGGCUGUUGCACUCUCUCAGAGAAUAACCACCUGCGUGGUUCAGAAAUUCUGAAAUGCUGAAGUUUGGGAGUCGCAGGCGCAUGAAUUAAAACGUCACAAAGCCGAGUCUCUCUUACCGUGUUUUAUUUGCUGUUUCAUCCACACAGAUGGACAUAACGUGUCAAAAUGCGCUUUUAAAAUUGCAUUUACUGCUUCUGUUGAGGUGUCUCCAUGUGAACGCUGUGUGUUACAGUACGAUGAUCGGGAAACGGCAUUAUCUGCCUCCGUCGGGGAUGAUCAUUUAACUGCCAUCAUUCCACUGCAAAGAUAUUACUUCACAGGUUCACCGAGAUCCAAAUGUGCGUAUUGCACUCAAAAUUUCUUGAGAUUUUUGAUAUUCCGGGUCUUUUUAAAUGUGACAAUGAGAAGAAGCAUUUUUGUGAUGAUGCCAUUAAUUUAAGCUUUAAUCCACGAAUGAACAUUUCCGUCCUGUUUUUUGAGAAGGCAGUUUCAAAUUUUAAAACGGAAAUACCGUCAUUGUAUGCUAUCCUGCAUUAAUAUUCUGCCUGUUUUUAUUCAUUUUCGUAAUAGUCCUGUAAGAAUGUGGGCACGUACUGUAUACAGUAUAUACAUCAAUAUUUAAGGAGAACACACGCCACGUAAAUCCCAUAAUUACACUGAAUCAGCAGUCCUAUAGAAAUCAUUAUAUUGACUCAUCUGCAUGCUUUAUUCUGCAAUUUGCAUGCUGUUGCAUGGAGGCCACAGAACACAAGCAAAGCCCAUUAAGGGUCCCUAACCUUCACUGAUAAGUGUUUGUUCAGUCUCUCAUCGAAGCCCCUCUCUGUGCUUUGUGACCAAAGUCUACAUUUACAUAAGUUGACACAAAACAAUAGAAAUGUAAAUCGCUCACAAAUAUACCGAUCUUUAAUUCAAAGUGCUUGAUUGGGCCUGGCACCGAUACUGACCACGCUUGUAUUAUUAAGAAAAACCACUGGGCCAAUCUCCACCCCCCUCCUAUGUUUUGUCUCCAGCUGUGGUUUCUCUGCUCAGUUCCCUGUUGUCCUCUGGGAAUGCCCCAGUAUCAUUCACAAUAAACAAUAGCUGGCGGGCAAAUCUUAUUUUUCCUGCACGUCUUAUUGCUUUAUGUUUUUAGUGCCGUGUUUGCACACUUACAGUAGGCACACAUGUAAUCACGUUCAGGCCCUGAGUCUGACUUGGACAAUAUCACACAGUUCUAACCUAAUUCUAAGACACACUGGUGAUGAUGACUCGUGUUCACACACAGCUGAUCUUUGAGACUCCUGGAUCACUCAUGUUCAUGUGUUGUUACCUAUAAUUUUACGCGCAUGAAUAUUUUAAGAAUGCUGUACUGGUUUUUCUAGGGGCUUAUUUGAGGAACAGAUUCUUUGGCAUCGUUUACAAAGAUUGUUUUGGGUUUCAUGCAUUUAGUAGAGGUCUUGCCUUUAAAUUAGUCUUGAAUUUGAAGCCCGGAGAUAUUUAUUGAUAUUUAAUUUGAGUUCUGUUACUGGUUCUGUUGUAUACGCCUCUGAGAACUGUUACUUGCCCUCUGGUUUUCACUGCAAGAUGAUAUAUACAUAACAUGCAAUUAGGUGUCAGUUUAUUUGUGUAAUAAAUGUGUGAUAUAUAUUUUGAAGUAUUGCUAUUCUGAGAGUGUGGUGUUGUAUUUUCUUGUUGUUUCAUACCAUUUUGAACCAUUUUUCCUUAUAUUGUGGGAUGUCACAUGCAUUAAACCCUAAUUGCAGUUAAA
This is an RNA transcript of Brienomyrus brachyistius, 6542 nucleotides long. It is a transcript of the gene named diacylglycerol kinase, beta, with no coding region annotated. NCBI's taxonomy places the organism in Eukaryota, Metazoa, Chordata, Actinopteri, Osteoglossiformes, Mormyridae. The transcript has 25 exons. The record is from RefSeq and is a predicted model, not a curated record.